CCAUGUAUAGGUAAACUUAUCGAAAGAUAAGGACACGAAGCUAUAGGGCCUAAGGAUUAUAUCUAAGGUUGCCAGUUGCCAAAA
Molecule: non-coding RNA, 84 nt
Filed under: Clostridiales bacterium
Lineage: Bacteria; Bacillati; Bacillota; Clostridia; Eubacteriales
Description: c-di-GMP sequence
Rfam family: c-di-GMP-I-GGC riboswitch aptamer
Source: RNAcentral